This 184-nucleotide long non-coding RNA is filed under the name Zonotrichia albicollis (white-throated sparrow). RNAcentral's name for it is "lncRNA (ENSZALG00000000231.1)". The record is from RNAcentral. Lineage: Eukaryota; Metazoa; Chordata; Aves; Passeriformes; Passerellidae.
AGGGAGCACAGCAGCAUGCCAGAUCCUCCCUGGAUUUGAGCAUAUCAGCCUGCUAAGUGUCCAGCAAGGCCACCUAUCAAUAAUUACUUCCUUCAAGAUGUGUUCAAAACCCUCACAUAUGUUGUCAAGAGGAUUCACUUGCUUGUGUCUAGCUUCUUCAGCUAAUGGAUGACAGAGAAUAUUG